RNAcentral lists this non-coding RNA (226 nucleotides) under Ditylum brightwellii. The record is from RNAcentral. Lineage: Eukaryota; Bacillariophyta; Thalassiosirophyceae; Lithodesmiales; Lithodesmiaceae.
CUUCCAUUUUGCUUUAAUAUUCCAUAUCCUUUUUUGUAUUUUCUCUUAUUUUUUUGCUUUGCGUGUGUAGCACGAUGAAAUACUCUUGUAGGAGGUGGUGGGCACACAGAGAGGAUAUAACAAAGCAGUAGAGCAUUCUUUUUGUGUUGUGUGUUCCUUCUGGAAUUUAGGGGGAACAUAAAAAUCAUAUAUAAUUCUUUGCCCGAGAUUGAUGGACGUUUUUGUA